Molecule: long non-coding RNA, 472 nt
Filed under: Haliotis rufescens (red abalone)
Lineage: Eukaryota; Metazoa; Mollusca; Gastropoda; Lepetellida; Haliotidae
Description: uncharacterized LOC125372551
Source: RNAcentral
GCCAAACGCUACGGUCCUGCGCGUACUUCCGGUAUAUUACGCGGUUCAUAGAUAUUUGCACGACCAACAACUACAACGAAGUAUUUACGAUGCCUUCGACGUGCUGCUGUGUCCCGGGAUGCUGCAAUCAAGGUGGUUUGUCGUUUCCGAGAGAACCCAUGUUGCUGAAACGAUGGUUGAUUGCUAUCCGGAGGAGCGACGAAUCAAACCAAGGCAAGAUGUGGAAACCGUCACCUCACAGUGUUGUGUGUCAUUCCCACUUCAGACCGUCUGAUUUCAUUGCUGUAACUAGUUAUGGUGCUUGUUUUCCACAGAGAUGAGGCACAGAUGAUUCAAGAAUACAGGGUGUACACCUCUGAGGAAACAGAGAAAACCAGAUGCUGUACCAUCAAUCUUUCCCUGGACUGCAUCCGCCAACGCACUUGAGGCCGAUGGAGGCUUAAGGAAAUCCCGCAUUGAAAGACGUGAGAGC